This 465-nucleotide ribosomal RNA is filed under the name Vreelandella stevensii. RNAcentral describes it as "partial 16S ribosomal RNA". It matches the Rfam family "Bacterial small subunit ribosomal RNA", at positions 338 to 795 of the family's 1533-position model. The record is from RNAcentral. Lineage: Bacteria; Pseudomonadati; Pseudomonadota; Gammaproteobacteria; Oceanospirillales; Halomonadaceae.
CCUACGGGAGGCAGCAGUGGGGAAUAUUGGACAAUGGGGGGAACCCUGAUCCAGCCAUGCCGCGUGUGUGAAGAAGGCCCUCGGGUUGUAAAGCACUUUCAGUGAGGAAGAACGCCUGGUGGUUAAUACCCAUCAGGAAAGACAUCACUCACAGAAGAAGCACCGGCUAACUCCGUGCCAGCAGCCGCGGUAAUACGGAGGGUGCGAGCGUUAAUCGGAAUUACUGGGCGUAAAGCGCGCGUAGGUGGCUUGAUAAGCCGGUUGUGAAAGCCCCGGGCUCAACCUAGGAACGGCAUCCGGAACUGUCAAGCUAGAGUGCAGGAGAGGAAGGUAGAAUUCCCGGUGUAGCGGUGAAAUGCGUAGAGAUCGGGAGGAAUACCAGUGGCGAAGGCGGCCUUCUGGACUGACACUGACACUGAGGUGCGAAAGCGUGGGUAGCAAACAGGAUUAGAUACCCUAGUAGUC